This 883-nucleotide ribosomal RNA is filed under the name Diaporthe sp. RNAcentral describes it as "partial large subunit ribosomal RNA". It matches the Rfam family "Eukaryotic large subunit ribosomal RNA", at positions 596 to 1416 of the family's 3401-position model. The record is from RNAcentral. Lineage: Eukaryota; Fungi; Ascomycota; Sordariomycetes; Diaporthales; Diaporthaceae.
GGGGAUAAGACCGACGGGAACGUAGCACCCUCCGGGGUGUGUUAUAGCCCGGCGGACGAUACCCUCGCGGGGACCGAGGUCCGCGCUCCGCAAGGAUGCUGGCGUAAUGGUCAUCAGUGACCCGUCUUGAAACACGGACCAAGGAGUCGUCCAUUAGAGCGAGCGUUUGGGUGUAAAACCCGCACGCGUAAUGAAAGUGAACGCAGGUGAGAGCUUCGGCGCAUCAUCGACCGAUCCUGAUGUUCUCGGAAGGAUUUGAGUAAGAGUUUUAACGGACGGACCCGAAAGACAGUGAACUAUGCUUGUAUAGGGUGAAGCCAGAGGAAACUCUGGUGGAGGCUCGCAGCGGUUCUGACGUGCAAAUCGAUCGUCAAAUAUGAGCAUGGGGGCGAAAGACUAAUCGAACUGUCUAGUAGCUGGUUACCGCCGAAGUUUCCCUCAGGAUAGCAGUGUUGAUCUUCAGUUUUAUGAGGUAAAGCGAAUGAUUAGGGACUCGGGGGCGCUAUAUUGCCUUCAUCCAUUCUCAAACUUUAAAUAUGUAAGAAGCCCUUGUUACUUAGUUGAACGUGGGCAUUCGAAUGUACCAACACUAGUGGGCCAUUUUUGGUAAGCAGAACUGGCGAUGCGGGAUGAACCGAACGCGGGGUUAAGGCGCCAGAGUGUACGCUCAUCAGACACCACAAAAGGCGUUAGUACAUCUUGACAGCAGGACGGUGGCCAUGGAAGUCGGAAUCCGCUAAGGACUGUGUAACAACUCACCUGCCGAAUGUACUAGCCCUGAAAAUGGAUGGCGCUCAAGCGUACCGCCCAUACCCCGCCCCCAGGGUAGAAACGAUGCCCUGGGGAGUAGGCGGCCGUGGAGGUCAGUGACGAAGCCUAGGGC